AUGGAUGACAACGGCAAAUCUGCUCAUAUCAUCCGUGAACUCGAGGAUAAACAUCUUCAGUCAGUUGUUAGCCUGACAGCUUGGUGGAAGGAGAGUCGUGUGGAGGGUAGGGAACUCAGUGUCGCAACAGGUUCUAUCAUUCAUUCAUCUAAGAUCAUGUUAGUUCUCGGCUGUGCUCACAUUUUCCAAAGUUUCAUCACGUGCUAUGGUCCUGGAUUCGAUACUGCCCUCAUCCUAAAUGGCAAUAUAACCAUUAGACUGAACUUCUUUGAUGGGCAUUCGGCUGAAGGAAGAGUUUAUUGCAUUGAUUGGUGGAAGGACUUAUGUCUUGUACUUGUUCCUGUCCCCAAUAAAUUAUAUGAAUCUGUAAAAUUCAUUGAAGAUGAGAACAUGAUGGGCCAGUCUGUAUACACAAGGGGAGAAAGGGUGUUCUCCAUUUUCUGCUUGCCAACACAUGAGAAAGAUGGCAAACUUUUGUUUGGCACUAUCGCAGAGGGCGAAAUCUCUGGCCUCCCCAUAACUGCCAAUGAUUUCACCUGGAGGUACCAUUCAGACUUGGAGUUUUUCGAGUUUGCCAUGUCGGCGGAAGGGGGAGCUUCCGGGGGACCUAUAUUCACGAAGAAGAUGCUAGUAAUGGGGAUUUUGCUUGGUGGAUAUGAUGGGAUGAAGUUUGCUGUUAGAAUUGACCAGAUUAGGCGUUGGAUUCUUGAUUGCUUUAAUAUCAAAGGGACGAAGAAUAUGAAUGAAACUGUAGCUAAAUUAUCUGCAGACUUGUCAGCGCGUUGGACAAAGAAAGCAGAGUCUAAGGUUUCUUCACGGAGGGGACUUGCCUGA
This 834-nucleotide ribosomal RNA is filed under the name Triticum aestivum (bread wheat). RNAcentral's name for it is "partial small subunit ribosomal RNA". Lineage: Eukaryota; Viridiplantae; Streptophyta; Magnoliopsida; Poales; Poaceae. The record is from RNAcentral.